CACCAAUCGACAGCCAGACUAGUUGACAGUUCUCAUUCCCUAUUCGUCUGUCGAGCUGCUAAUCAACUCACCGAGUUCGUGGUGGAAAUAACGACUGGAAGGCGGAGUUGUAAAGGAUUGCCAGUAUUCUGCCCCAAUGGGUUGACCAAUUGUACUUAAACACGAUUCAAAUACCAGAAGCUACUAAGAACUGUGGGCUUGCGAAUUAUAAUUACUGCUCUACUCCAGGCAAUUGUUUAUUGACCGGCUAAGAGAAGAUCGCCGAGAAGCUCUGAUCUUGAAAUCUUGAACGUUUACACUAAGCAGGGGUGUUUAUUGUCGAACUGAGAGAAAAUUGCCUUCGUAAGCUGCUUAUAAAAUCUAAAACGCAGAUCUGACAGGUAGCCUAUUUUAUGCACUCCAUCGUGCUGAUUGGUCGUUCCUCAACUUAAAGAAUCUGCCACGGAAUUAUUGCCUCGAUAGUGCUCCUGAUUAAAAGGUACCUCUUUUACACGCAGCCCUGAUGUUUAUUGUCAAUCUGAGAGAAAAUUGCCGCGAACGAAGCUGUUUUCUAAAUCUCGAUCGCUCUCCAAAGAGGUAGCUCUUUUUACAUUUAACCCGAAUGUGUAUUGCCAUCUAAGAGAAGAACGCCGUGAAGCUCCAGUUUUAAAAUCUUGAACGCGAACCUGACAGAAAGAUAGCUCUUUUUACACUCAGCCCUGAAGUUUAUUGUUCAACCGAGAGAAAACUGCCGCGAAACUUUGCUUUAUAAAUCUCGGUUGUCCUCCUGAUUAAAAGGUAGCUCUUUUUAUGCAGCUUGAAGUCGAUUGCCCAACUGAGGAAACUGCCGUGAAGCUGUUUUUGAAGUCUUGAAGCGGACCUGACUGAAAGGUAGCUCUUUUUUACGCACUGCCUCUUGCUGAUUGGUCGCUCCUGAACUCAGAGAGAAGUCCGUGAAACCCCCGCCUUCUAAAUCUCGAUUGCCCCCCUGAUUAAAAGUUAGCUCUUUUUACACUCAUCCCCGAUGUGCAUUGUCCAUCUGAGGUAAAACUGCUGCGACGCUGUUCUCUCCAGAUCUCGGUCGACCUCCAAAUUUUAAAAAAGCAGCUAUUUUAAUACAACCCUGUACAUUGUACACCUGACAGAAAAAUGCCGCGAGCGAAGCUGUUUCCUGAAUCUCGAAAUUAAAUUAAAUUAAAGGGGCAGCUCUUUUUCCACUCAGCCCCGAUGUUUACUGUCGAACUGAGAAAAUUGCCUUGAUGCGCUGCUUAUAAAAUGUUGAACACAGAUCUGACAGGUAGAUUAUUUUACGUACUCCAUCUAGCUGAAUGGUCGUUCCUCAACUCAGAGAAUCUGCCCCGAAAUUAUUGUCUCGAUAGCCCUCCUGAUUCAAAUGUAGCUCUUUUUAUGCUACUUCUUACCAGCUAAGAGGAGAUCGCCCCGAAGCUCUAAUUUUAAAAUCUUGAAUGCGAACCUGACUGAAAGAUAGCUGUUUUUAUACUCAGCCCUGAUGUUUAUUGUUCAAUUUAUUUAUUUAUCGAAAACUGCCGCGAAACUCUGUUUUCUAAAUCUCGAUCAUCCUCCUCAUCCCUGAUGUUUAUUGUCUCGCUAAGCUUGUCGCGAGCUGUUUUCAAAAUCUUGAACGCGAACCUGACAGAAAGAUAGCUCUUUUUACAUUCAGCCCUGAUGUUUAUUGUCCAUCUGAGGGAAAACUGCCGCGAAACUUUGCUUUCUAAAUCUCGAUCGCCCUCCUGAUUAAAAGUUAGCUCUUUUUACACUCAUCCCUGAUGUUUAUUGUCCAUCUGAGGGAAAACUGCCGCGAAGUUGCUUUCUAAAUCUCGAUCGCCCUCCAAAGUAAAAAGCAGCUAUUUUAAUGCAACCCUGUCGUUCAUUGUACACCUGACAGAAAACAGCCGGGAGCGAAGCUGUUUUCUGAAUCUCGAUCGCUCUCCAAAUUAAAGGGGCAGCUCUUUUUACACAGCUUGAAGUCGAUUGCCCAACUGAGGAAACUGCCGUGAAGCUGUUUUUGAAGUCUUGAAGCGGACCUGACUGAAAGAAUGAAGCAGGAUGACAGUAAAGAUGAAGCAAGUAUUGACUUGGCAAAAGACCCCUUUGGAUACUUAGAUGGUGAAGUUAAUCUCUUUAUGUUGAAAAUUGUAUUUAUGUGACACCUCUCACAACCUCGGGCUGUGAUAAUGCACCCAGUGAAAUAGUGUCAAUGUGGCAACGUAGAAAAUAUGGUGGACAAUUGUGCACACAGAUGUUACUAACAUUUUCAUUACUACCAUCGGGAAGGAGGUACAGGAGCCUGAGGUCUCACAGCAGCAGGUUCAGGACCAAUUAUUACCCUACAACCAUCAGACUCCUGAGCCAGCAUGGAUAACUUCACUCACCUCAACCCUGAACUGAUUCCACAGGCUCGUUUUCAAGGACUCAGCAAUUCAUGCUUUCAAUAUUAUUGAUUUUAUUAUUUGAACAAUUUGUCUUAUUUUUGCACAGUUUGUCAGUUUUUGUUUAUGUAUAUUUUUACAUAAGUCCUAUUGUAUUUCUUUAUUUUUUCUGUGAAUGCCUGCAAGAAAAUUAAUCUGAAGAUAGUAUAUGGUGACGUAUAUGUACUAUGAUAACAAAAUUUUCUUUGAACUUUGACACAACUAAUCAUGGGAUCCAGGAAGACCUAACUAACUGAAUACGUAAUUGUCUUGACUGUAGGAGGCAGGGGUUGAUAUUUUUCACAAUGGAGACCUGUGAUCAGUAUUGUGCCUCAGGGAUUAGUGCUGGGCUCAUGUUUGCCAUUUAUAUAAAUACUUAGAACAUAGAACAGGCAACAUAGUUCAGGCCCUUCAUUCCACAAUGUUGUGCCAAUCUUUUAACCUACUCUAAGAUCAAUUUAACCCUUCCGUCCCCCAAAACCCUCCAUUUUUCUGUCAUCCACGUGUCUGUAAGUCCAUAAGUUAUAAGAGCAUAUUUAGUCCAUUUGGCCCAUCGAGUCUGCUCUGCAAUUUUAUCAUGGCUGAUCCAUUUUUCCUCUCAGCCCCAAUCUCCUGUCUUCCCCACUGCAUAUCCUAUCAUGCCCUGACCAAUCAAGAAUCUAUCAACCACUGCCUUAAAUAUACACAGAAAUGUAAUGCCCUGGUUCACAUCUUUACUGUUAUGCUAUAGGUAUAUAAUAUAACAGCUCUGUUAAGAGCAGUCUGUUCAGCUUUCAGCCCAUUUGGGUUAUUGUUGAAGAUGAAGGAUGAUGCAGAAUGUGUGCCAUCCAAUUAGGGUGGUUGAAUUAAGGGGAGGUUUUUCGGGUGAGGGACACUAAGGUUGGUCUUGCGGAUUUGUUCAAGAGGAGAUGAAGAGAGAAGAUGCUGGGGAGAACCAGUCGUAGUGUACGACCUGGUGAGAGACCCGUUUGUUCGAGAUGGAUUGUGAGCGACUUUUGGAAGGUAGUGUGUGCUUUCACACUGACCGAGGGCCCAGCGUGUAAGUGACAGAGAAGUUCAAGAUGAGCUCCAACUUGUGCACAUUUGGCUGUUUAAUUAGAAUGGGCCCUUUUUGUUUUUCUUUCUUUUCUUUACUGUCCCUUUAGUUAAGUAAGAUUCAUGAAUAUAAUUCCUAUAGUUGUACGCAAUGUACUGUCUGUUGUUUCUUGGCACUGACUUGUAACAGGGCAGCAAAUUACACAGCAUCCACACAAAGCGGGGUUUAGGGUGGGAGAGGCGCCUCAAUCUCAUGGGUUUGUGUCUUCCCUAGACUUAUGCAGCCAAGGAAACCAGCAAAGUUUCAAAGACUUGGCCUCUGCAGCUGUCUGUGGCACAGAUUCCACUUAUUCACCACUCUCUGACUAUAGAAAUUCCUCCUCAACUUUCUUCUAAAAGAACGCCGCUCUCUCUGGUCUUUGACACUCCUACCAUAGGAAACAUCUGCUUUAUCAAGGCCUUUCACCAUUUAGUUGGUUUCAAUUAGGUCACCCCCUCAUUCUUCUAAAUCUAAUGACUACAGGCCAAGAAGCAUCAAACUUUCUUGAUAUGACAAGCCAUUUAACCCUCAAUCAUUUUUGUGAACAUCCUUUGAACUUCCUCCUGUUUCAGUACAUCCUUUCUAAAAUAAGGGGCCCAAAACUGCUCACAGUACUUCAAGUGAGGCCUCACCAGUGCUUUAUCGUCUCAACAUUACGUCCUUGCUUUUGUAUUCCAGUCCUCUUGAAAUAAAUGUUAACAUCACAUUUACCUUCUUCACCACAGAUUCAACCUGCAAAUUAACUUUAGAGAAUCCUGCACAAGGACUUUCAAGUCCCUUUGCACUUCAGUUUUUUGUACCUUCUCUCCAUUUAGAAAAUAGUCAACCCUUUCAUUUCUUCUACUAAAUUGCAUGACCAUACAUUUCCCGACACUGUAUUUCAUCUGCCCCUCCUUUGCCUAUUCUCCAAACCUCUGUUCUUCUGUAACUUCCCUACUUCUUCAAAACUACCUGCCCCUCCACCUAUUUUCAUAUCAUCUGCAAACUUUGCAACAAAGUCAUCAAUUCCAUCAUCUAAAUCAUUGACAUAUAAUGUAAAAAGAAUUGGUCCCAACACAGCCACUGUGGAACACCACUAGGCAUUGGCAGCCAACCAGAAAAGGCUUCCUUUAUUCCCACUCUUUGGCUCCAGCCAAUCAGCUGCUGCUUUAUCCAUGCUAAAAUCUGUCCUGAAUUUCUGCUAUUCUAGCAGGAAUCUUUCUUUAUUCAGAUGAGUCCUGAAUAAAGAUUUGUCAGCUAAGAAAGCAAGCUCAACAUUAUUAAACAAUUUGCUAACAAUUUUUUUGCUUAACCUUUCAGAGUAUGGAAUCAAACCAAUCAUUCCCCGGCUGAGCAAGCAAAUUAAGAAGGCACAGUCGUCGUUCUUGCAGAAAGCCGGACGAAGCAAGAGGGACGACCCAGACAUCGAGGACUAUUAUAAUUAGUUUGGAUAACUACUUGCAUCAAAAUGUUUAUACUUUAGUUUCUAGCUGUGAAGGAAACAUGAAAUUUGGGAACUGUGUAGAUGUGAAACCAUGUUAUAUAAAGUGUUUUAUUUGUUUAACUCAAAACAAAGACCAUUUUAAAUUAUUUUUAUUAUCGCUUUCUGAGUGUAUUGAUUUCCAGUGAGAUUUACAACGUGCAGAGUAUACUCUGAUGUCUCUCUUAGCAAGCCAUGCAACACAUAUGAGAAUGUUAUUAAAAAGACUAUUGGGAGGAUGUGACUGUGGCUAAGAGCUACACUAAUCCUCACAUUCAUCCAUUUCUGCAUCGAUUCCUCCAUAUUCACCAAGAUCAGGAAUCCAGCUUUUCCCUGUCAAGACUAUGUGUAGGUCCUCAGCAAGCUGCAAACUUGAACCGAGUCCCCUAUCCACUCCCAGGUCAGUGUGGGGAGGGAAGUCUAGGUUUGACAAUAUCCACAGUUCUAGGGAGGAUAUCAACAAGAUGGUGACAUCUUUUUUUUUUACUAUUUGCAAGAUUUGUCUUCUUUUGCAAAUUGGAUAUGUGGGAGUUCUGCUGUGAGUGUAUUUUAGUGAAUUCUAUUGUGUUUCUUUGUGAGUGUGUGCAAGGAGGUGAAUCUCAAGGUUGUAUUUGAUAAUAAAUGUGAACUUUGAGAUACUCAGGACAGUUCCCAUUUCCCCAACAUUUUUACUCGUGCAGAAUUAAGUCGCUCUGUGAACAAUACCUUGCCUAAAAGGACCUUGCUUAGCAAUCCUAUCUAGUUGCUCAAGAGUCUGUGACACUUUCAGUAGUUCUAUUAUGGUUUGGAAACUCAGUGAAUGAAUGGAGUGAGACCCCAUGGUUUCUCCUGAGUAAGAGAAGCUGUUAAAUGCUUUGGUUAAUGCUAGCAGGUCAAUAUGUGUGUCUUUUAUUUCACCGAUAACUGAUUACUGAAUUACCUAUUAAUCCAGGGGUUCUCGGCCUUUUUUAUGCCAUGGACCCCUACCAUUAAGUGAGAGGUCCAUGGACCCAGGUUGGAAGGACAGUAUUAACCAUUCAUUGAUGGUAUUGUGUCAAGCUCUUAAUUUAAUUUCAAUGCGUGUAUUCCUGUUUGUUUAUCAAACUAGAGAUCAGAGAGGAAGAGUGCAAUCACAGUCCUCCUUUGUAUAUUGAAAGGAGCAACUCCAAGGAAUUACGCUGAAUUGCAGCUGUAACUCAAAAUGUUCUGUCUUAAAUUGUGUUGUUUAAGAUCAAAAACCACAAAUUGUAUGUUAGAAUAACUUGAGGAUUGACUUAACCUUAACUUGUGUUGAAACAUUACAAUAAA
Long non-coding RNA from Hypanus sabinus (Atlantic stingray), 6229 nucleotides. RefSeq lists it as uncharacterized. The record is from RefSeq and is a predicted model, not a curated record. The transcript is spliced from 4 exons. NCBI's taxonomy places the organism in Eukaryota, Metazoa, Chordata, Chondrichthyes, Myliobatiformes, Dasyatidae.